Molecule: ribosomal RNA, 431 nt
Filed under: uncultured bacterium
Lineage: Bacteria
Description: bacterial SSU rRNA
Rfam family: Bacterial small subunit ribosomal RNA
Source: RNAcentral
UGGGGAAUAUUGCGCAAUGGCCGAAAGGUUGACGCAGCGACGCCGCGUGUGGGAGGACGCCCUUCGGGGUGUAAACCACUGUCAGGGGGGAAGAACUUCGUAGGUGUGAAUAGCACUUGCGGUUGACGGUACCCCCAGAGGAAGCGCCGGCUAACUCAGUGCCAGCAGCCGCGGUAAUACUGAGGGCGCAAGCGUUGUUCGGAAUUACUGGGCGUAAAGGGCAGGUAGGUGGUCUGUUAAGUCUUCUGUGAAAAUCCGGGGCUCAACCCCGCGAAAUGCAGGUGAAACUGGCAGACUUGAGACCGGUAGAGGCUAGCGGAAUUCCUGGUGUAGCGGUGGAAUGCGUAGAUAUCAGGAAGAACACCUGUGGCGAAGGCGGCUAGCUGGGCCGAUUCUGACACUGAACUGCGAAAGCGUGGGGAGCAAACAGG